This 327-nucleotide ribosomal RNA is filed under the name uncultured eukaryote. RNAcentral describes it as "partial 18S ribosomal RNA". It matches the Rfam family "Eukaryotic small subunit ribosomal RNA", at positions 1470 to 1796 of the family's 1831-position model. The record is from RNAcentral.
CCCUUAGAUGUUCUGGGCCGCACGCGCGCUACACUGACGAAUGCAACGAGCUUAUAACCUUGGCCGAAAGGUCUGGGUAAUCUCCAAAUUUCGUCGUGAUGGGGAUAGAUUAUUGCAAUUAUUAAUCUUCAACGAGGAAUGCCUAGUAAGCGCAAGUCAUCAGCUUGCGUUGAUUACGUCCCUGCCCUUUGUACACACCGCCCGUCGCUCCUACCGAUUGAAUGGUCCGGUGAAGCGUUCGGACCGUGGCCUUUGGACGGUUCGCCGUCUGUUGGCUGCGGGAAGUUCGUUAAACCUUAUCAUUUAGAGGAAGGAGUAGUCGUAACA